Molecule: ribosomal RNA, 459 nt
Filed under: uncultured bacterium
Lineage: Bacteria
Description: partial 16S ribosomal RNA
Rfam family: Bacterial small subunit ribosomal RNA
Source: RNAcentral
ACUACGGGAGGCAGCAGUGAGGAAUAUUGGUCAAUGGCCGCAGGGCUGAACCAGCCAAGUCGCGUGAGGGAUGACGGUCCUAUGGAUUGUAAACCUCUUUUGUCAGGGAGCAAAGGGCGCCACGUGUGGCGUUUUGCGAGUACCUGAAGAAAAAGCAUCGGCUAACUCCGUGCCAGCAGCCGCGGUAAUACGGAGGAUGCGAGCGUUAUCCGGAUUUAUUGGGUUUAAAGGGUGCGCAGGCGGAAUGGCAAGUCAGCGGUAAAAUUUCGGGGCUCAACCCCGUCGUGCCGUUGAAACUGGCGUGCUUGAGUGAGCGAGAAGUCUGCGGAAUGCGUGGUGUAGCGGUGAUAUGCAUAGAUAUCACGCAGAACUCCGAUUGCGAAGGCAGCAUACCGGCGCUCAACUGACGCUCAUGCACGAAAGCGUGGGUAUCGAACAGGAUUAGAUACCCCGGUAGUC